AUUUCUUUAUCAUUUCCUUGAAGUAAUAAUCAUCAUAUUAAUCAUUUUACAGAUGCUGUAGUUCUUCUGUCUUAGCGUCUCGGUCUGAUUGUAUUUCCAUGAAGAAAUGAUCAUAAAUGUUCUUCCUUGAGCUGCGGCACCCCGCUGUAGUCCGUAAUGGACUGGUCUGAGGUCUCACUACAAACAAGCGUCUGCUGGAAGAGAGUAGGUGAGUUGUGUUUAGUCUCUUUGCUAAAGAAAUGAGUCAAAGUUAAAAAGAUGUUUGGUGUCUAGUACUAUGUCUGGGACCCUAUAUGUCCUGUUGAUGAAGUUAGGUGCUGUUCUGAGCAUUAUUUGUGGCUAUAGAGUGGCGUUUUGGUUGGGGGCGUGUCUCUCUGUAUUUCUAUCCUGCGGUCGUUACUAAAGUUGGUAUAACUAGAGAAGGAAGCGGUCGGCAACAUUCAUCUCUGGAGGGGGGGUCUAACUCGGUGUUACGGUGGGUUUGACUCUAAAUUAAUUUAACGCCGGAAUAUCCCUUUAA
Non-coding RNA from Xyrichtys novacula (pearly razorfish), 520 nucleotides. The record is from the annotation of a GenBank genome assembly. NCBI's taxonomy places the organism in Eukaryota, Metazoa, Chordata, Actinopteri, Labriformes, Labridae.